RNAcentral lists this ribosomal RNA (561 nucleotides) under Neotoma micropus (Southern Plains woodrat). Its description in RNAcentral is "partial 16S ribosomal RNA". It matches the Rfam family "Bacterial large subunit ribosomal RNA", at positions 1814 to 2606 of the family's 2925-position model. The record is from RNAcentral. Lineage: Eukaryota; Metazoa; Chordata; Mammalia; Rodentia; Cricetidae.
CAUCACCUCUAGCAUAUCAAGUAUUAGAGGCACUGCCUGCCCAGUGACUAACGUUAAACGGCCGCGGUAUCCUGACCGUGCAAAGGUAGCAUAAUCAUUUGUUCCUUAAUUAGGGACUGGAAUGAACGGCUUGACGAGGGUUUAACUGUCUCUUAUUUCUAAUCAGUGAAAUUGACCUCCCCGUGAAGAGGCGGGGAUUACAAAAUAAGACGAGAAGACCCUAUGGAGCUUUAAUUUACUAGUUUAAUUCUAAUAAUAAAUAACCUAUUGGUCCAACAUACAAAAAUAUAAACUAGUAAUUUUGGUUGGGGUGACCUCGGAGCAUAAAAAAACCUCCGAAUGAUUUUAACCAAGACCUACAAGUCUAAGUAACUAAAUAUCUUAUUGACCCAAAACUUUUUGAUCAACGGACCAAGUUACCCUAGGGAUAACAGCGCAAUCCUAUUCAAGAGUCCAUAUCGACAAUUAGGGUUUACGACCUCGAUGUUGGAUCAGGACAUCCCAAUGGUGCAGAAGCUAUUAAUGGUUCGUUUGUUCAACGAUUAAAGUCCUACGUGAUCA